Molecule: ribosomal RNA, 279 nt
Filed under: uncultured bacterium
Lineage: Bacteria
Description: partial 16S ribosomal RNA
Rfam family: Bacterial small subunit ribosomal RNA
Source: RNAcentral
UGCCAGCAGCCGCGGUAAUACGGAGGGUGCGAACGUUAAUCGGAAUUACUGGGCGUAAAGCGCGCGUAGGCGGUUUAUUAAGUGGGAUGUGAAAGCCCCGGGCUCAACCUGGGAACUGCAUUCCAAACUGAUGAACUAGAGUACGAGAGAGGGGGGUAGAAUUCAGAGUGUAGCGGUGAAAUGCGUAGAUAUUCUGAGGAAUACCAGUGGCGAAGGCGGCCCCCUGGCACUUGUCUGACACUGAGGCGCGAAAGCGUGGUUAGCGAACAGGAUUAGAUA